Small nucleolar RNA from Cavia porcellus (domestic guinea pig), 129 nucleotides. Ensembl annotates it as small nucleolar RNA SNORA61. The record is from Ensembl. NCBI's taxonomy places the organism in Eukaryota, Metazoa, Chordata, Mammalia, Rodentia, Caviidae.
ACCCUCUAGUGCUCUUUCCCAUCAAAUCCCAACACUGGUAUUGCUGGUUGUAAGGGAGGGAAAGCAGUGCUGAAGCUGGCCUCCCAACCCUAGAGUCCAGUGUGCACUGUGGGCUAGCUUCCAACAGGG